This 24-nucleotide non-coding RNA is filed under the name Arabidopsis thaliana (thale cress). Lineage: Eukaryota; Viridiplantae; Streptophyta; Magnoliopsida; Brassicales; Brassicaceae. The record is from RNAcentral.
CGACCAAUCUGAGGAUGUCACGUC